RNAcentral lists this ribosomal RNA (208 nucleotides) under uncultured bacterium. RNAcentral's name for it is "partial 16S ribosomal RNA". It matches the Rfam family "Bacterial small subunit ribosomal RNA", at positions 524 to 732 of the family's 1533-position model. The record is from RNAcentral.
UACGGAGGGUGCGAGCGUUGUCCGGAAUCACUGGGCGUAAAGGGCGCGUAGGCGGCCCUGGCAGUCGGUGGUGAAAGCCCGUGGCUCAACUGCGGUCGGCCACCGAUACUCCAGGGCUCGAGUUUGGUAGAGGCAGAUGGAAUUCCGGGUGUAGCGGUGGAAUGCGUAGAGAUCCGGAAGAACACCGGUGGCGAAGGCGGUCUGCUGG